UGGAAGUCUACCUGCACCCUGGAGCCGUGGUGUUUGGGCGGCCUCGACUAGCCUUGAUGUACCGAAUGCAGGUUGCAAAUAUUGACAAGUUUGAAGAGAAGCUUCGAGCAGCUGAAGAUGAGCUGAAUAUCGAGGCCAAGGACAGGAUCCCAGUUUCCUACAAGCGAACAGGAUUCUUUGGAAAUGCCCUGUACUCCGUGGGGAUGACGGCAGUGGGCCUGGCCAUCCUGUGGUAUGUUUUCCGUCUGGCCGGGAUGACUGGAAGGGAAGGUGGAUUCAGUGCUUUUGUAAGUUCUGUAAAUCAGAGCUCUCUGAACUCUUUCUGGUUUGUGUUUGCUGAAUACUUUUCCCAUAAGCUAUACGAUGAAUACACAGGGAAAACCUGUUGCAGAGAGUAGCCUGAAGCCACAAUUAGACAGCAG
Molecule: small RNA, 422 nt
Filed under: Pan troglodytes (chimpanzee)
Lineage: Eukaryota; Metazoa; Chordata; Mammalia; Primates; Hominidae
Description: retained intron
Source: RNAcentral